RNAcentral lists this ribosomal RNA (567 nucleotides) under uncultured bacterium. Its description in RNAcentral is "bacterial SSU rRNA". It matches the Rfam family "Bacterial small subunit ribosomal RNA", at positions 338 to 916 of the family's 1533-position model. The record is from RNAcentral.
CCUACGGGAGGCAGCAGUGGGGAAUAUUGGGCAAUGGAGGAAACUCUGACCCAGCGACGCCGCGUGCGGGAUGAAGGCCUUCGGGUUGUAAACCGCUUUCAGUAGGGAAGAAGCGAAAGUGACGGUACCUACAAAAGAAGCACCGGCUAACUAUGUGCCAGCAGCCGCGGUAAUACAUAGGGUGCAAGCGUUGUCCGGAAUUAUUGGGCGUAAAGAGCUCGUAGGUCGUUUGUUACGUCGGAUGUGAAAACCUGAGGCUCAACCUCAGGCCUGCAUUCGAUACGGGCAAACUAGAGUUUGGUAGGGGAGACUGGAAUUCCUGGUGUAGCGGUGGAAUGCGCAGAUAUCAGGAGGAACACCAAUGGCGAAGGCAGGUCUCUGGGCCAAUACUGACACUGAGGAGCGAAAGUCUGGGGAGCGAACAGGAUUAGAUACCCUGGUAGUCCAGACCAUAAACGGUGGGCACUAGUUGUGGGAACCUUCCACGGUUUCUGCGACGCAGCUAACGCAUUAAGUGCCCCGCCUGGGGAGUACGAUCGCAAGAUUAAAACUCAAAGGAAUUGACGG